CGACAAGUGUCAAACAUCACUUCUUUUUUUUUUCCCCCCAGGAGACCAGAACUCCCGAGCAUGCGAUGCGCCAUGCUAUUCCCCCUCUAUUUUCAUACACCAUGUCUUUCUUCUUCUCUUCAACCUUUCCUCCCCUCCGUUUGUCAGAAGCUAUAACGGAAGAUGAGUAAACCCUAACCCCAAUCUCGGACGAAUGGCGAGCAGCAAUCUACCUCGAAGAGUUAUCAAGAUCUUGGGCGGAAGAGCGUCGGCCUCGCGAUACGAGGGGAUCUCACCUUCUCUCCUUUCCCUGCGCUCCUCUGCUCUCUGAUUUCUAAUUCUUGACCCCGUGAACUCACAGGAAACGCAGCAGCUGCUCAGCGAACCAGAUAUGUACCUGUACUCCUCUUCUUCUAAUCUUGCUUUCCUUUUUUUCUUGAUUUCUUGCUUAUCUUCUUGGUCAAUUGAGAUGGGUGUAAAAUAUCUUUAGGUUUUCUGGGAAAUAUUAUGGCUGAAUUUCUUUUCGGGGUACUAGGGUUUUCCUGAUCGAUUUUAGAUUAAAGUUAGGUUUUGGAUGAUGGGUUGCCAUCUUUUCUUUCAGCUCCUGGGAUCGGUACCCCUCCGUCUGAAGACAACCUGCGCUACUUCAAUGUUAUGAUCCUUGGUCGGACACAGUCUCACUUUGAAGGUGCUUAUUUUGAAGUUGAAGAAUUGCAUCGUGAUAAGGAGCAACUCGAUAUAUUUCCAACAAGAUUGAGGAGCCAUAAUAUAUACUAGUUGUAGUAGUGGAAGUCCAAUGGAGCAACCAUGAAGGCCUGAAGAACAAGAUUCUUGUUCACGUGACCAUGUAGAGCACCUUCUUAGCAAGUUUAUCUAUUUAUACUUGAGCAAACUUUUUCCAAGAAACACAUUAUUGAUGUAAACUGGAAACAGAUGACCAUGAAAAGAGAGACAAGGUGAUGAAGGAAUAAAAUUGGUGAUUUUCUGGGUUCAAACUGU
Molecule: non-coding RNA, 978 nt
Organism: Phoenix dactylifera (date palm)
Lineage: Eukaryota; Viridiplantae; Streptophyta; Magnoliopsida; Arecales; Arecaceae
Source: RefSeq, a predicted model, not a curated record